RNAcentral lists this ribosomal RNA (465 nucleotides) under Vreelandella stevensii. Its description in RNAcentral is "partial 16S ribosomal RNA". It matches the Rfam family "Bacterial small subunit ribosomal RNA", at positions 338 to 795 of the family's 1533-position model. The record is from RNAcentral. Lineage: Bacteria; Pseudomonadati; Pseudomonadota; Gammaproteobacteria; Oceanospirillales; Halomonadaceae.
CCUACGGGGGGCAGCAGUGGGGAAUAUUGGACAAUGGGGGCAACCCUGAUCCAGCCAUGCCGCGUGUGUGAAGAAGGCCCUCGGGUUGUAAAGCACUUUCAGUGAGGAAGAACGCCUGGUGGUUAAGACCCAUCAGGAAAGACAUCACUCACAGAAGAAGCACCGGCUAACUCCGUGCCAGCAGCCGCGGUAAUACGGAGGGUGCGAGCGUUAAUCGGAAUUACUGGGCGUAAAGCGCGCGUAGGUGGCUUGAUAAGCCGGUUGUGAAAGCCCCGGGCUCAACCUGGGAACGGCAUCCGGAACUGUCAAGCUAGAGUGCAGGAGAGGAAGGUAGAAUUCCCGGUGUAGCGGUGAAAUGCGUAGAGAUCGGGAGGAAGACCAGUGGCGAAGGCGGCCUUCUGGACUGACACUGACACUGAGGUGCGAAAGCGUGGGUAGCAAACAGGAUUAGAUACCCGUGUAGUC